GCUCCGUCACUCUUUUUUAUCGCUUCGCUCGCAUCUCAUCUUCUUCAUCAAAAUAAUCCGUCGAAUUAUUUCACUAUUGCGUUCCGUUUGGAUGGACUUGUUUCGGGAAAAGUGGAGGAAAGAAUACGUAUUCGUGGCGAUUUCGUCAACGUCGAAAACGCUCGUUUUUAUUGGACGUCAAAAUUCAAUGCUCGAAUCCAUGAAAUUUUGCUUCAUUUUCAUGAAAUUACGACUUUGUUCGAGUUCUCGUCCAUUCGGUAUUCGGUGGUAGAGUCAUUUUUUAAGGGGCGCUUUUUUUCCGCGUGGGAAAAGCGUUUUUCACAGUUCGCUUGAUCCGCGUUCCUCUUCAUCUGGCAAAACAAUUACCGCCAGCUCGGCUUCUCUUCGCUCUUCAAAAUCGUCCAUCAGGAUCACGGAUCGGUUCGACUUUCCCGCAUUCCAACGCCCCGCCAGUCGUGCCAAGUGCUGCGCGCCCCGCUCUAUCCGCCAAACUCAGUGCACAAGUGUUUUUCCGUGCUUUUCCUUUGCGCAGUCUUAUCCCCCCGUCCUCUGGAACACGAGAAUCGACGGUCGGAAACGGAUCCGUCGAACAGGGUCGACCGGAAGUGGAGAAACGGACUUUCCGAGCCCACGUGCGUCGAAGCUCCGACCUCACUCCGCGAACUUGUCGGGCAACUGGGAAGAGGCACAUCCGGUAAGCACGAAAACUUCGGUCCUGGAAUCCACGGCUGCAUCUGCAGCCUGUCGACAUACCGAUCUUGGAGGUAAGAAGAAAUCUGUCGCGACCGUACCGGCCGGUGAUAAGUUUCCCGAGCGUGGCUCCGAUCGACAAAGCGGAUUUCUAGUCGUCGGUGACACCAGAGGACAUCGGCAACGAAGAUCUUCGCCUGAUCUUUCGUCGAUGGGCACAGAGGGAAUCUUCCGAGACCAACUUGUUCGUCUUCUUCGAGGAUAUUUUAACGAAAGUCAAUAAAAUGAGCUGCGCCUAAUGAAUGCUGGGUCGACGAUAAGUCCUCUGAUAUUUUCCAGGUUCGGAAGCGACAUUCUAUUAAUCCUGCGAUAAUUAAAUUUAACGAUUCUCGUGUUAAAUAAACGUUCGGGCUUAUCGGCGGUCGCGCGAUUGCUGGCGUUAAUUAGAUGAAGAUAAAUUCUCGAUUCCGGGAAUACAUACGGGGUCCGAGAGGGCUUCGCAUGGAGCGUAGAUAGAGUUGGUAUCUCGGGAUGAGAUUGCUUUUAUAAGGCAGCGAGUUUAAAAGUGGUGAUUUGGAGCCAGCACGGAGAUGACAGUGACUGUCAUUCAGUCGCGAGUUUCUUUAUCCCUCUUUCGUGCUCUUUCCCUUUUCGUGCGUUCGUAGAUAUCCGCGAGGUAUAUUCGCCCGGAAUUGAGCGCGAUGGAAAUAUCUCGGGAAGCCUCCGGCCGCGGGUGCGAUCUUCGAUGGGGAGACGAAACGGAGAGAAAGAGUUUAUGGAAGGAAAUGGUGCUCCGAACGGAUCACCAUAAGGUCAUAAGUCACUCCGUAUCUUUAUCGCGGCCCCCAUGUAUUGCCGCCAGGCCUUGCCAUCGCUCUAUCUUCGCCUCACAUACGCGCACGAUAACGCACGUGCAAAAUAUCGUUUUAUACGACCCUCUCGCGCGUCUCGUUAACCGAUUCCUAAUUCAAGGGUCGCUUCGAUAUUUUAAUCGUUUUUUUUUACAUCAUUUCCUUUCUUCUUGGAUUUUAUUGUCCUCGCGAUUCGUUCGAAGCGAAACGAAAUUCUGCGCUCAAAGUCGAUUGAAAUUUUCACUUGACAAGCCACUCGACAGCUUCUGUUAAGGUAGCUUGUGCACGAAACGAUUUUCUUAAGAAAGUCUUGACAUUUACGCAGAGUUUGAACGAGUGAACGACUGACACGCGUAUCAAAUUUUAAAGACUUCGUCUUAUUGGUUAUUUAGAUAAACGAGCGCAAAAAGUCGUUUAUCUUUCCAUCUAACGAAUGAACGCUUCUCACGAAGUUUAUAAAAAAACGUGCACAAUGACCAAUGACAAUGAAGUAUAUGAUGAAGGUUUGGAAAAAAAUUCGAGACGAUUGUAUUAUUAGUAAUAAAAAUAUAUUACCUUACUCGCAA
This 2107-nucleotide unclassified non-coding RNA is filed under the name Venturia canescens. Its description in RNAcentral is "uncharacterized LOC122414451, transcript variant X1". Lineage: Eukaryota; Metazoa; Arthropoda; Insecta; Hymenoptera; Ichneumonidae. The record is from RNAcentral.